GCAAAUAGUGAGGGGAUUUUUUGGUGUGGCUAUUUGUCGCCUAUUUGUCAUUGCGAUUACGCAGCCAAUGCGCAAAUAACGCAAUAAUACAAC
Molecule: non-coding RNA, 93 nt
Organism: Staphylococcus saprophyticus
Lineage: Bacteria; Bacillati; Bacillota; Bacilli; Caryophanales; Staphylococcaceae
Source: Rfam